RNAcentral lists this ribosomal RNA (253 nucleotides) under uncultured bacterium. Its description in RNAcentral is "partial 16S ribosomal RNA". It matches the Rfam family "Bacterial small subunit ribosomal RNA", at positions 524 to 776 of the family's 1533-position model. The record is from RNAcentral.
UACAGAGGUCUCAAGCGUUGUUCGGAUUCAUUGGGCGUAAAGGGUGCGUAGGCGGCGCGGUAAGUCGGAUGUGAAAGCCCUUGGCUCAACUGAGGAAGUGCAUCCGAAACUGGCAGGCUAGAGUACGAAAGAGGAUCGCGGAAUUCCCGGUGUAGAGGUGAAAUUCGUAGAUAUCGGGAGGAACACCGGUGGCGAAGGCGGCGAUCUGGGUCGAUACUGUCGCUGAGGUGCGAAAGCGUGGGGAGCAAACAGG